This 305-nucleotide ribosomal RNA is filed under the name Pleuromamma scutullata. RNAcentral's name for it is "partial 16S rRNA". The record is from RNAcentral. Lineage: Eukaryota; Metazoa; Arthropoda; Copepoda; Calanoida; Metridinidae.
AAUUUGUUUUUUAAUUGAGAAAUGGAAUGAAGGAGUCCACUACAUGACAAUUUUCUUUGUGGAAAAGUAAAAAUUAUACCCUUAGUGAAAAUACUAAGAUGGACUAUUUAGACGAUAAGACCCUAUGAAGCUUUACUAGGCAAUGAGAAGUUCUAUCUCAACAAGGGGCUAGUUUAGUUGGGGUAACAAAUAAUCGGGCUAUUAUUAAAAAAAUCUAGCGAUUAAGAUCCUGUCCGGAGUUUAAGAUCUAGCUACUCUAGGGAUAACAGCAUUAUAGUUUUAAAAGUUCUUAUUAGAAAAACUGC